CCACAUCUGCAACCGCUCAGCUUGUGUAUUAAGCACAUUGGUCGCGCAAGUUGGCGAGUCUCAAAAUAAAU
Regulatory RNA element from Facklamia hominis, 71 nucleotides. The record is from Rfam. Lineage: Bacteria; Bacillati; Bacillota; Bacilli; Lactobacillales; Aerococcaceae.